Molecule: non-coding RNA, 88 nt
Organism: Amphiamblys sp. WSBS2006
Lineage: Eukaryota; Fungi; Microsporidia; Amphiacanthidae
Source: Rfam
CCUGAGAUAGCUCAGUUGGUAGAGCGGGGGACUGUAGAUGGAAACAGCUGAUAUCCUCCGGUCGGGAGUUCGAUUCUCUCUCUCAGGA